This is an RNA transcript of Selaginella moellendorffii, 2888 nucleotides long. It is a transcript of the gene named probable serine/threonine-protein kinase PBL7, with no coding region annotated. The record is from RefSeq and is a predicted model, not a curated record. NCBI's taxonomy places the organism in Eukaryota, Viridiplantae, Streptophyta, Lycopodiopsida, Selaginellales, Selaginellaceae. The transcript is spliced from 5 exons.
UCUCCCACUGCUUUGCAUUUUUGUGUGUGUGGGGAGUAGUGUGUCCUUGUAACACAGUAGCGCCUCUCCCCGGCUAGGGUUUAGUGAAGCGCGCUGCCAAGAGGAAGAAGCGGAGGAGUAAGCAAGGGCGCGGCGCUAGCUCGCCACUCCAUCUCGCGAAUCUAUCUAUCCGCGCGACGAAUGGUGUGCCGAAAUCCGGUAGGGUGGGAGCAGCAGCAGUGAUUCUCGCAUCGGCGCCCUGGCUGGGAGAUUUCGGCCGGCGGAUGGGAAUUCCGUGGCGCUGAAUCCAUUGGAUCGGCCACGGAUCAGGUGGAUCGGCAGGACAAGACUUGUUCUAGAGCCGCGGCAGUGGCGGCAAUUUCUUGCUCUUGGUCCGAUCUGCCAGAGCUGACGGGGUUUCCAAUGCGUUGCUGAGAGUGGUACGGAAGGCCGUAGCUCGGAGAAAAUGGGAUGUAUAUUUUGCUUUGGAGGAGGCAAGCAGCAAGAGAGCCGGGUUGGAAGCAAGCCUGGAGCUCGGACGGCUCAACAGGCACCUGGGAUCGUGGAGAAGGAGAAGUCGCUGGCAAAAAUUCCCUCCGAUAAGGUGAAGCCGGCAGCUUCUUUGGAUCGCAAGAAGGAAAAUGCACCCGGAGAUUCCACUCCAGCCAUUGCUGCUCAGACUUUCACGUUUCGAGAGCUUGCAGCAGCCACGAAGAACUUCAAGGCCGAGUGUCUCUUAGGUGAGGGUGGUUUUGGGCGAGUGUACAAAGGACGACUGGAGAAUUCGGGACAGGUAGUCGCUGUGAAGCAGCUGGAUAGAAACGGAUUGCAAGGCAAUCGAGAGUUUUUGGUCGAGGUUUUAAUGCUGAGUUUGCUUCACCAUCCAAACUUGGUCAACCUCAUUGGAUACUGUGCAGACGGUGAUCAGAGAUUGCUAGUUUACGAGUUUAUGCCGCUCGGGUGUUUGGAGGAUCACUUGCAUGGUACGAUACUUUCUCUUGGUCUUGACGGGCUUACCUUCCUCUUGUUUUUGCUAGAUAUUCCCCCGGAGAAAGCCCCGCUCGACUGGAACACGCGCAUGAAGAUCGCGGCUGGUGCUGCGAUGGGUCUAGAAUAUCUGCACGACAAGGCCAAUCCGCCGGUGAUUUACAGGGACUUCAAGUCAUCCAACAUUCUUCUUGACAACAAUUUCCACCCAAAGCUCUCCGACUUCGGGCUUGCAAAGCUCGGCCCUGUCGGUGACAAGACGCACGUCUCAACGAGAGUUAUGGGGACUUACGGCUAUUGUGCACCAGAGUAUGCGAUGACGGGACAGUUGACAUUAAAGUCGGACGUAUACAGUUUUGGAGUCGUGCUACUAGAGCUUAUAACAGGUAGAAAGGCGAUCGACAACUCAAGACCAGCUGGAGAGCACAAUCUUGUGGCCUGGGCAAGGCCCCUGUUCAAAGACCGGAGAAAGUUCCCGUCCAUGUCGGAUCCGCUGUUGCAAGGCAGAUAUCCAAUGCGCGGCCUGUAUCAGGCUCUGGCAGUCGCUGCGAUGUGCCUCCAGGAGCAAGCGGGCACGAGACCACUGAUCGCCGACGUAGUCACCGCUCUAAACUAUCUCGCCAGCCAGACAUACGACCCCGGCGUUCAUCCUCUCUCCAACAGCAGGCUGACGCCACCAUCGUCCAGAGAGAAGCGGGAGAAGGACAAAGAGAAAGAGAGGAAGCUGUCACUCGCAACUCCUGCUGCUGCUGCUGCUGCUGGUGAUGAUCGCGGCAAGAACAAUGGCGUGCAUUCUCCGAGCGUCACAGCCAAAUCGUCCGCAAAGUCAUCUCCAAAUGUCCGUGUGAAAGACGAGGACAGUCCCAGGAACUUACUGGAGGAAGCCAAGCUGCACGAUAGCAGCAAACAGCGAGAGGCGGACGACUGGGAGAUGUACGACAGGAACUCGAUGAGCCCCAGCCGCACCAACAAGAUCUUCAAGGAAGGAUUCAAGAUCUUGGAUCACGACCGGGAGAGAGCGGUGGCGGAAGCAAGGAUCUGGGGGGAGAGCUACAGGGAAAGGAAGCGAGGCAACACACAGGGUGGUGGUGGGGGCGGCGGCGGCAGUGGUGGUGGCAGUGGUGGUGGUGGUGGUGGUGGCACCGAUUGCUAGAGCGAGAAGAGCAGAACGAGCGAAUUUUGUCCUCUGAGCUGAUGCCUCACGAGCAGGCCAGCUUCCAGAGCUCUUCUAAGUUCUCCGAGCGGCUAUAGCUUCCAGAGCUCUUCCAAGUCCUCCGAGCGGCUAUAGCUUCCAGAGUUCUUCCAAGUUCUCGGCUACUUUCAGUGGUGCCAGGGAAAGCCGGACGUGAACUGGGCCUCGAGCUUCUCGUUGGUCUCGUACAGGAUGCUGUCCUCGAUCUUAUAGUCGGGCUUGAGAUCGUCCAGUCCCUCGAGCAUGAAGUCGGCCUCGUCGAUCACUUGGUGGAAGUCGAUGGGUGGCGGCGGGGGUUGCAGAACCGGGACCACGAUUCGAGGCUGGUGAUUGAGAGCUUGCGGCGAUGACGAUGACACCAUGCUGCCACUGGGGGAUUUCUUAAACUUGAGCUUGACGACGCCCGCGCGGCUACUAGGAGCUCUCUCCGUCUCGACUUUCGUCCGUUUCCUCUGGUGGAUUUCUUCCAAGCUGUCUCUCCGCGUGGACGAGGAUUUGUCGCCGCUUCUCGAGAACCUGGAACGAGGAAAAAGAAAAAGAAAAAAAGCAUGAGUUUCUUUCUCCAUGCUCGAAGUCGAUCGAUCGCUGCUGUGAGAAAAAGUGAGCUUUGUUUUUUACCUCUCGCGGAGUAUCUUGAACGCUUCCUUCGUGGCAUACGGCUGGCCUGUCUUGGGAUCUUUGUACCUGCGCAAAGACGCAAAAAACAAAACACCAGAUUUUUGUCCCAGUU